UUGGCCUCGAAUCAAGACUAGCAGUUUGCUGAAGCGGUUGGCUUCAUGCUGAGGCCUAAAGACUGUCUUUCUGUUUAGAAUUUCCACUGCAGAAAUUCUAAAAUGUUAUGUUUGACUCAUUAGAAAAAAGCAUCU
Molecule: small nucleolar RNA, 135 nt
Organism: Mastomys coucha (southern multimammate mouse)
Lineage: Eukaryota; Metazoa; Chordata; Mammalia; Rodentia; Muridae
Source: RefSeq, a predicted model, not a curated record